CCUCAAGCUUGCUUGGGGUACUCGAGUGGCGAACGGGUGAGUAAUACGUGGGUAACCUGCCCUCUUCUUUGGGAUAAGCCCCGGAAACGGGGUCUAAUACCGGAUAUUCUGCUUCUGCCGCAUGGUGGGGGUUGGAAAGGUUUUUCGGUGGGGGAUGGGCCCGCGGCCUAUCAGCUUGUUGGUGGGGUGAUGGCCUACCAAGGCUUCGACGGGUAGCCGGCCUGAGAGGGUGACCGGCCACAUUGGGACUGAGAUACGGCCCAGACUCCUACGGGAGGCAGCAGGU
This 286-nucleotide ribosomal RNA is filed under the name uncultured Arcanobacterium sp. RNAcentral describes it as "partial 16S ribosomal RNA". It matches the Rfam family "Bacterial small subunit ribosomal RNA", at positions 72 to 354 of the family's 1533-position model. Lineage: Bacteria; Bacillati; Actinomycetota; Actinomycetes; Actinomycetales; Actinomycetaceae. The record is from RNAcentral.